RNAcentral lists this ribosomal RNA (751 nucleotides) under uncultured bacterium. RNAcentral describes it as "bacterial SSU rRNA". It matches the Rfam family "Bacterial small subunit ribosomal RNA", at positions 49 to 832 of the family's 1533-position model. The record is from RNAcentral.
UAACACAUGCAAGUCGAACGGGAAAGUGGGGCAACCCAUGAGUACAGUGGCGUACGGGUGAGUAACACGUGGAUGAUCUACCUCUUAGUGGGGAAUAACCCUGGGAAACCGGGGCUAAUACCGCAUAAGCUCGGGAGAGGAAAGCAGCAAUGCGCUGAGAGAGGAGUCCGCGGCCGAUUAGCUAGUUGGUAGGGUAAAAGCCUACCAAGGCAAAGAUCGGUAGCCGGCCUGAGAGGGCACACGGCCACACUGGCACUGAAACACGGGCCAGACUCCUACGGGAGGCAGCAGUGGGGAAUCUUGCACAAUGGGGGCAACCCUGAUGCAGCGACGCCGCGUGAGCGAUGAAGCCCUUCGGGGUGUAAAGCUCUUUCGGCAGGGAAGAUAAUGACGGUACCUGCAGAAGCAGCUGCGGCUAACUACGUGCCAGCAGCCGCGGUAAUACGUAGGCAGCGAGCGUUGUUCGGAGUUACUGGGCGUAAAGGGUGUGUAGGCGGUUGCUUAAGUUUGGUGUGAAAUCUCCCGGCUCAACUGGGAGGGUGCGCCGAAUACUGAGUGACUCGAGUGCGGGAGAGGAGAGUGGAAUUCCUGGUGUAGCGGUGAAAUGCGUAGAUAUCAGGAGGAACACCGGUGGUGUAGACGGCUCUCUGGACCGUAACUGACGCUGAGACACGAAAGCGUGGGUAGCAAACAGGAUUAGAUACCCUGGUAGUCCACGCCCUAAACGAUGCAUAUUUGGGUGUGGGCAGUU